GGGUGGUAAUGCCGGAUGCUCCAUCAUACCGCAUGGUGUGUUGGGAAAGCCUUUGCGGCAUGGGAUGGGGUCGCGUCCUAUCAGCUUGAUGGCGGGGUAACGGCCCACCAUGGCUUCGACGGGUAGCCGGCCUGAGAGGGCGACCGGCCACAUUGGGACUGAGAUACGGCCCAGACUCCUACGGGAGGCAGCAGUGGGGAAUAUUGCACAAUGGGCGCAAGCCUGAUGCAGCGACGCCGCGUGAGGGAUGGAGGCCUUCGGGUUGUAAACCUCUUUUGUUAGGGAGCAAGGCAUUUUGUGUUGAGUGUACCUUUCGAAUAAGCACCGGCUAACUACGUGCCAGCAGCCGCGGUAAUACGUAGGGUGCAAGCGUUAUCCGGAAUUAUUGGGCGUAAAGGGCUCGUAGGCGGUUCGUCGCGUCCGGUGUGAAAGUCCAUCGCUUAACGGUGGAUCCGCGCCGGGUACGGGCGGGCUUGAGUGCGGUAGGGGAGACUGGAAUUCCCGGUGUAACGGUGGAAUGUGUAGAUAUCGGGAAAGAACACCA
RNAcentral lists this ribosomal RNA (544 nucleotides) under Bifidobacterium breve. Its description in RNAcentral is "bacterial SSU rRNA". It matches the Rfam family "Bacterial small subunit ribosomal RNA", at positions 158 to 711 of the family's 1533-position model. The record is from RNAcentral. Lineage: Bacteria; Bacillati; Actinomycetota; Actinomycetes; Bifidobacteriales; Bifidobacteriaceae.